RNAcentral lists this ribosomal RNA (460 nucleotides) under uncultured bacterium. RNAcentral describes it as "partial 16S ribosomal RNA". It matches the Rfam family "Bacterial small subunit ribosomal RNA", at positions 338 to 795 of the family's 1533-position model. The record is from RNAcentral.
CCUACGGGUGGCAGCAGUGAGGAAUAUUGGUCAAUGGACGAGAGUCUGAACCAGCCAAGCCGCGUGAGGGAUGAAGGCCCUAGGUGUUGUAAACUUCUUUUGUAUGGGAAUAAAAUGUGGUACGUGUGGGAUAUUGUAUGUACCAUAUGAAUAAGGAUCGGCUAACUCCGUGCCAGCAGCCGCGGUAAUACGGAGGGUCCGAGCGUUAUCCGGAUUUAUUGGGUUUAAAGGGAGCGUAGGUGGGUGGUUAAGUCAGUUGUGAAAGUGUGCGGCUCAACCGUAGAAUUGCAGUUGAAACUGGGAGGCUGGAGUACAGGAGAGGUAGGCGGAAUUCGUGGUGUAGCGGUGAAAUGCUUAGAUAUCACGAAGAACACCGAUUGCGAAGGCAGUUCACUGGACUGUAACUGACGCUGAGGCUCGAAAGUGUGGGUAUCAAACAGGAUUAGAUACCCGUGUAGUC